AUUUUCUUUGUUGCUCAGAGCCAGGCAACAGCUGUAAGGGAGAGCACGCGUCCUCCGCCCCCCUGCCGUGCUGGACCACCACCCCGACCCUGUCUCCAGACAGCAGAGGGGCUGGGAAAACAAGCCGAAAUAUCUCGGUCAGUGGC
Molecule: long non-coding RNA, 146 nt
Organism: Etheostoma spectabile (orangethroat darter)
Lineage: Eukaryota; Metazoa; Chordata; Actinopteri; Perciformes; Percidae
Exons: 3
Source: RefSeq, a predicted model, not a curated record